This 71-nucleotide transfer RNA is filed under the name bovine gut metagenome. It matches the Rfam family "tRNA". Rfam says of the family: Transfer RNA (tRNA) molecules are approximately 80 nucleotides in length. Their secondary structure includes four short double-helical elements and three loops (D, anti-codon, and T loops). The record is from RNAcentral.
GCGGAAUAGCUCAGUUGGCUAGAGCACUCGGUUCAUACCCGAGUUGUCGUUGGUUCAAAUCCUACUUCCGC